GAUGAACGCUGGCGGCGUGCCUAAUACAUGCAAGUCGAGCGAACAGACGAGGCGCUUGCUCCUCUCACGUGAGCGGCGGACGGGUGUGUAACACGUGUAUAACCUACCUACAAGACUGGGAAAACUUCGGGAAACCGGCGCUAAUACCGGAUAAGAUAUUGAACCGCAUGGUUCAUUAGUGAAAGACGGCUUUUCUGUCACUUAUCGAUGGAUCCGCGCCGGAUUAGGUAGUUGGUACGGUAACGGCUUACCAAGGCAACGAGGCGUAGCCGGGCUGAGAGGGUUAGCCGCCAUGCGGGAGUGGACAGCCGGACCGGGACUGUGAUGGGGGCAGGAGUAGUGCAGGUGGCGGAAUGGGCGAAUGUCGGACGGAGGAACGCCGCGUGAGGGAGGAAGGUCUCCGGAUGGAAAACCGCUGUUAUGAGGGAAGCACAAUUGUGUAGGUAAGUAUGGUGGGUGAGGGGAUUGGGAAUCAGAGCGCCGGCGAUAAACGUG
Molecule: ribosomal RNA, 495 nt
Filed under: uncultured bacterium
Lineage: Bacteria
Description: partial 16S ribosomal RNA
Rfam family: Bacterial small subunit ribosomal RNA
Source: RNAcentral